This 775-nucleotide ribosomal RNA is filed under the name uncultured bacterium. Its description in RNAcentral is "bacterial SSU rRNA". It matches the Rfam family "Bacterial small subunit ribosomal RNA", at positions 8 to 796 of the family's 1533-position model. The record is from RNAcentral.
AGAGUUUGAUCCUGGCUCAGGACGAACGCUGGCGGCGUGCUUAACACAUGCAAGUCAGGGGGCCCGCAAGGGUCACCGGCGAACGGGUGCGUAACACGUGAACAACCUGCCCGAGCGAGGGGGAUAGCCGGCCCAACGGCCGGGUAAUACCGCAUAUGCUCACAGCGUCAUAAGGCGCAGUGAGGAAACCUUCGGGGCGCUCGGAGGGGUUCGCGACCUAUCAGCUAGUUGGUGAGGUAACGGCUCACCAAGGCGACGACGGGUAGCUGGUCUGAGAGGAUGGCCAGCCACAUUGGGACUGCGACACGGCCCAGACUCCUACGGGAGGCAGCAGUGGGGAAUAUUGCGCAAUGGUCGAAAGACUGACGCAGCGACGCCGCGUGGAGGAUGACGCCCUUCGGGGUGUAAACUCCUGUUGCUCGGGACGAACCGUGGAAUUCAUUCCACCUGACGGUACCGAGUGAGGAAGCACCGGCUAACUCUGUGCCAGCAGCCGCGGUAAUACAGAGGGUGCGAGCGUUGUCCGGAAUCACUGGGCGUAAAGGGCGCGUAGGCGGUUUGACAAGCGUGCGGUGAAAGCUCGGGGCUCAACCCCGAGUCGGCCGUGCGAACUGUCGGACUUGAGCACAGUAGAGGCAGAUGGAAUUCCUGGUGUAGCGGUGAAAUGCGUAGAUAUCAGGAGGAACACCGGUGGCGAAGGCGGUCAUCUGGCUCGUAACUGACGCUGAGGCUCGAAAGUGCGGGGAUCAAACAGGAUUAGAUACCCUGGUAGUCC